UUAGAUGCAGAGAGCGUGCAUAGCAUACGAAUACGAUGAGUUGUUGUGUGCUUUUCUUUUAACUAACUACCCCCACUCUCAGAAUCAAUCUAGUCUCAAGUCUCACAGACAUAAAAACAAACACAAACGCUAACCGUGCAUAGCAUACGAAUACAAGAAGAUGGCGUUGGCUGUUCCUGCUGUUCCUUUCACGUACGGUGUUCACCUUCUUGGUCUUGUCGCCAUCGUAUUAGUGUUGCUUUGGAACUUACAUUUCAGGGGUGGUUUGGCUUGGAAUUCUUCCAACAAGGCUCUCAUCUUCAAUGUACUACUACUCUCUCUCUCUCUCUUUAUUCUUUUUUAACUUCGUCGAUUUCGUAUUAACCGUUUUUAGGUUUUGUGUUUCUCCUUGUUCUGCAAAAUUGAAUGUUAUUCACUCAUAACUUAACUUGAAAUUUCCUUCCAAUUUUUUUUUCUCUAGUUAAUUUGCAAUUUUUUUAAUAAAUAAGUACAAUUAUACAGAUUAACGUGUACUUAGCUGUUUUUUGUUUUACUAUAUUUAGCUGAUUGUUGAACGCCAGAACUUGGGUGAUUUUUUUUUUUGGUUGACUAAUAACUUGUGGAAAUGUUUGAAUACGAAUGCUCUUUCCAGAUUUACCUCACCUAAUAAUCUAGUCUAGUCAAUAAUAAUAAUAAUAAUAAUAAAUGGUGUUUAUACGCAAUAAAAAUGUGGUUUAUUUGGCUAACUAACUUUUUUCUGAAUUUAUUCGACUUAUUAAUUGAUUUAAGAAUUUAAAUGAACAUGUAUAUAAUUUAAAAAUUAAUGGUGCAAAUUAAAUAUAAUAUAGAAAAAAUAAUUUAAUAAAAAAAAUUAAAUACUAAUCGAAAAAAUGUUGAACAUAAUAGAUCGCAGACAUAAUUUAGUAAAAAAUAAUUUAUAUAUUUUAGAAGUAGAAGUUAUUUAUAGGUAGUCGUGGAAGAAGCUAAAAGAGUGGUAAGAGAAAGACCGACGUGGCGAGCAUGUAGGUAAAGAGAAGAAAGAUUUCGAUAGAGAUCGUACGGUGGGAAGGUAAUUAGAUGCAGAGAGCGUGCAUAGCAUACGAAUACGAUGAGUUGUUGUGUGCUUUUCUUUUAACUAACUACCCCCACUCUCAGAAUCAAUCUAGUCUCAAGUCUCACAGACAUAAAAACAAACACAAACGCUAACCGUGCAUAGCAUACGAAUACAAGAAGAUGGCGUUGGCUGUUCCUGCUGUUCCUUUCACGUACGGUGUUCACCUUCUUGGUCUUGUCGCCAUCGUAUUAGUGUUGCUUUGGAACUUACAUUUCAGGGGUGGUUUGGCUUGGAAUUCUUCCAACAAGGCUCUCAUCUUCAAUGUACUACUACUCUCUCUCUCUCUCUUUAUUCUUUUUUAACUUCGUCGAUUUCGUAUUAACCGUUUUUAGGUUUUGUGUUUCUCCUUGUUCUGCAAAAUUGAAUGUUAUUCACUCAUAACUUAACUUGAAAUUUCCUUCCAAUUUUUUUUUCUCUAGUUAAUUUGCAAUUUUUUUAAUAAAUAAGUACAAUUAUACAGAUUAACGUGUACUUAGCUGUUUUUUGUUUUACUAUAUUUAGCUGAUUGUUGAACGCCAGAACUUGGGUGAUUUUUUUUUUUGGUUGACUAAUAACUUGUGGAAAUGUUUGAAUACGAAUGCUCUUUCCAGAUUUACCUCACCUAAUAAUCUAGUCUAGUCAAUAAUAAUAAUAAUAAUAAUAAAUGGUGUUUAUACGCAAUAAAAAUGUGGUUUAUUUGGCUAACUAACUUUUUUCUGAAUUUAUUCGACUUAUUAAUUGAUUUAAAUGCU
This 1824-nucleotide long non-coding RNA is filed under the name Cicer arietinum (chickpea). RNAcentral describes it as "long non-coding RNA (CARI_LNC001047)". Lineage: Eukaryota; Viridiplantae; Streptophyta; Magnoliopsida; Fabales; Fabaceae. The record is from RNAcentral.